UACGUAGGCAGCAAGCGUUGUUCGGAAUUACUGGGCGUAAAGAGUGUGUAGGCGGUGCUCUAAGUUCGGGGUGAAAUCUCCCGGCUCAACUGGGAGGGUGCGCCGGAAACUGGAAUGCUUGAGCGUGGGAGAGGAAAGCGGAAUUCCUGGUGUAGCGGUGAAAUGCGUAGAUAUCAGGAGGAACACCUGCGGUGUAGACGGCUUUCUGGACCAUUGCUGACGCUGAGACACGAAAGCGUGGGUAGCAAACAGG
Molecule: ribosomal RNA, 253 nt
Filed under: uncultured bacterium
Lineage: Bacteria
Description: partial 16S ribosomal RNA
Rfam family: Bacterial small subunit ribosomal RNA
Source: RNAcentral